CUUGCUCACAUAAAACUCAAUGUGGGUUUUCCUGUUUCAAGGUAGCUUUCCCUCAAACAGUUGUUUAGGGACUCAUGCUCUUAUCUUGUGGCUGUGUAAUCUCCUACAUGUGAAUUUCAAGGUGACUGUGUUUAUCUGCACCUAGUGAGAGAAUGGAAAGAACAUGGAGGAUGGCAAAUGGGAAGUUUGUAUGGACCAGUCCUGGAAGUGACAUCACUUCCAUUCAUAGUCUAUUGGUUGGAACUCAGUAAUAUAAAUACAUUUAAUUGCAAGGGAGACCGGAAAGUAUGACCUGGUUGUGUGCCCAGGGGAACAGGAAAUGGUCAGGUGCUCAAUCUGCAGCUUCUGUCAUUGUGCUAAACUUUCACUUGGGACUAAAAGAUCUGUCUUGGAAUAGACUUCUUCUCUGAGGUCAUCUGUUUCCUGUGUUCUGAAACUAAGGUCAGGCAAUAUGGCAGAGGCCGUAGUUAUAAGUUUUCAGGACUCAAAAGAAGCUGGGUGGGCACAGAUUUACAUUCAAUUAGCAGAAGGCCGAGAAUAUAGAUAAGACAUCCAUCUGAUCAUGGUCCUUCUCAGUGUGAGACUCAGACACAGGGGCCAGGGCUCUGAGUCUAACGGUGACAGAAGUGUGGCCAAAGCCCCAAGCUGAGAAUUCAGCCUACCAUUUAGAUCACUUUUAAAUCUACUGAUGACUUUUAUAUAACAAAAAAUGAGCAUUCUGCCAUCUCCCAGAAUCCUCAGCAAGGGUUUUUGACAGAGGGGCCGCUCUUUGACCAGCCAAGAGUGAAGAUUCCCUAGGCCAGGUGUGAUUGUUCCUUAUAUGUAAGCUACUAGGAAGCAUUUCUCCCAGAAAGCAACUCAGAGAAAAUCCUCGCCCAACCACUAGGAGGAGCAUGAGUCAAAGAAGAGGUCCAUCAGCAUGGUUUAGUCUGAUCCAAGAAGAAGCAUACCCGAAAAAAUAAGACAAGUAAAGAGAGUCAGAGGAAG
This 987-nucleotide long non-coding RNA is filed under the name Equus caballus (horse). Its description in RNAcentral is "lncRNA (ENSECAG00000057745.1)". The record is from RNAcentral. Lineage: Eukaryota; Metazoa; Chordata; Mammalia; Perissodactyla; Equidae.